UCCGACCAUGUUGUGCUCAGAGUGGAUCAGUACGACUGUCUCAUUUGAUCUGUUUUAAACAGAUGCUUCUAGCCUCCCCUCAAAGGCCCUACAACUUUCAUGUAACUUCUCGUCCAGUCAAAAGUUGAAAUACUGCAAGUCAUGGAAAAUGAUAUUUUCUUUUUUGUUUUCUUCUUUUCCAUUGCUCUAGCAAUCAGAAGUAUGAUUUUAAAUUUUUUAUGACUCUGUCGUUCACUAGGAAAAACUUAGCACAUGGAUCUCAGCACUGUGAAAUGAAUUCACUUUUAUAGCUGAUGUGUCUGAGAAACAGCUAUUUGUGACAUUAUGUUGUUAACUAUAGAAAUCACUGAAAUAGUGAACUCCUUUUGUUAAUGCAUUGACAAUUGCAAACUGGAAUUAUGUAUUUUUAUUCUCUUCACUUUAGGAAAGCGGGUCUGCUGGUUAGUGAUGGCUGUCAUCAUUGAGUGCCCCAGAAUUUGUAUGUUAAACAAAGUGCCACUCAUGGAUGGGCAAAAGUAGCAACCUCCAGCUUCACAAAAUCUCUGCCUGCUUUCUCCAGCUGUGCUGAAAACCCUUUUCCCAUUUAAGCUAGUACUUGAACCGGUGUUCACUAGUAGAGAAGAGCUCAUUUGGAGAAAAGGACAGUCACCAGAAAGAUGACAAGAUCAUUGUUUUCAUGGCUGAUGGUCUUAUUGUUUGGGGAAUGAAAUCCCUGGGUAACUUACAGCUCAGAAGUCUUCUUAUGCAGGAGCCUGAAGAAAGCCGCAGAUCUUCCUUUGGAUUUUCAGAAUGGGAAGGACACAAGGCUUUGGGUGAUGUGGCUGAACACUGAGUAGCAACUAAAGAAUGUCUGUGACAAUCAAAAAGAAUGCUGUCCUUGUUCCAUGGCCCUCACGGACCUAGAUAAUCACCCCCACCUCCUACCCCCAGCUCUGAAAUUCCCGCAAAGAUAAAACGAGUUGAAAUUGUUUUGACACUGUUCAUUCAUCUGUAUGAGCGUGGAACGAGAAAGUUCGACAGGAAAAUACUUCAGAGACAUAUGAUAAACUAAUACUACCCAGAUGAAUGCAAACGCUACCUGGAAUAUAGAUGACGGUGGGUAAAUUGCUUCAAAUGAGCCUUAUUGAUUCCACUCUCUGUUGAUGGGGCAUAUCUGAAGGAGGAAGUUUCAUUUAAACACUUGGGCACUGCAGUAAUUAAAUGAACUCUGGGACAGUUUACGUAUUGGACUGGCUCUGAUUCUUUAGGAGCUGGUGACUAUCUCUCUUAAACAUGAAGCAUGUUAAUAGCCAAGCAGCU
This 1299-nucleotide long non-coding RNA is filed under the name Calidris pugnax (ruff). Its description in RNAcentral is "lncRNA (ENSCPUG00000013037.1)". The record is from RNAcentral. Lineage: Eukaryota; Metazoa; Chordata; Aves; Charadriiformes; Scolopacidae.